This is a long non-coding RNA of Anguilla rostrata (American eel), 546 nucleotides long. RefSeq lists it as uncharacterized. NCBI's taxonomy places the organism in Eukaryota, Metazoa, Chordata, Actinopteri, Anguilliformes, Anguillidae. The transcript is spliced from 3 exons. The record is from RefSeq and is a predicted model, not a curated record.
AUACGCUAGUGUUCGUUGAUUAAAACUGCAUUUUUAAAAAUCAAGAGCUAAGUCCUACUUCCCACUUAAAAGUCAUCUCCUGUUCUUUUUUAAGCCUGAAUUUCUCAGUGAAAGUUGUCUGGCCAGCUUGGUAAUUGCUUCUUAGAAGGACAAAGGGCGAAGAUUUUGACACAGUUUCCAUUGCACCAUGUCCAGAUAAUGAGAGAGCAUACAUGCACCUUCAUGUGUGUUCUGAUUGGCGGAGUGACAUCAGCAUGUAUCGCUUCAAUCCGUGGAAUAUCUGCAAAGCAUCUCCCACAUGUCAGACCCUGAGAAGACUAAAGAGCCAGUCCUGAAUUGUGAGUGGGAAAAGGGAGGAAUUUUUCUCAGCUCCUUAUCAAGACUUACAGAACUAGCACCCUCAAUCACUCUGAAUAAUUGGGCAGAUGCUCUUAUCCAGCAUGAAGAACAGCAGUGGAGAACAUCAGUGUUACAACAUACAAGAAUGCAGCAUCACCAAGGCUAAUCAACAAUCACUAAUUGUAAAAUUAACCUAACAAAUAAAAA